UGGGGAAUAUUGCGCAAUGGGGGAAACCCUGACGCAGCAACGCCGCGUGAGCGAUGAAGGUCUUCGGAUUGUAAAGCUCUGUCUUUAGGGACGAUAAUGACGGUACCUAAGGAGGAAGCCACGGCUAACUACGUGCCAGCAGCCGCGGUAAUACGUAGGUGGCAAGCGUUGUCCGGAUUUACUGGGCGUAAAGAGUAUGUAGGCGGAUAUUUAAGUCAGAUGUGAAAUUCCCGGGCUUAACCUGGGCGCUGCAUUUGAUACUGGAUAUCUAGAGUGUGGGAGAGGAAAGCGGAAUUCCUAGUGUAGCGGUGAAAUGCGUAGAGAUUAGGAAGAACACCAGUGGCGAAGGCGGCUUUCUGGACCAUAACUGACGCUGAGAUACGAAAGCGUGGGGAGCAAA
This 400-nucleotide ribosomal RNA is filed under the name uncultured bacterium. Its description in RNAcentral is "bacterial SSU rRNA". It matches the Rfam family "Bacterial small subunit ribosomal RNA", at positions 355 to 772 of the family's 1533-position model. The record is from RNAcentral.